GAACAGGAUGAUGUGGACCUUGGGAGCAAAGAGGCAGCCCAGCACGACCGACCCACUCAGACUGACAGAGAUACACAUGGUGGUGGUUUGUACCUGGAGGAUGAAAAAGAGUCAUGAUGAAGUUACAGAUAUAACACAACAGAGGUCCCCAGCUAGAAUCAAACAGGGCUGAUCCAGCUCAGAAACAAGGAUUUCAAACAACCAAACAGUGUUAAAUUAACUUCACUCAUGUGGAAUCAUAUAAGCAACAGCAGAGUGUUGAGGACCAUUUUGCUGUUCAAUAUAUAAAAAAGAAAUGAUAAAACCAAUUUUCAAAAUUUAGAAUCAAAGCCAGGAGGAAGGAGGGCGCUAUCAGCUGGGACUGCAGAAGAGAGGUGUUAAAUGAUCUGUUUAUUUUUCUGUCAAUCAAAAGGCCAACCCUUAUUCCUCUUUCCCCUCACUCUGCCCACAUCUUUACAGCUAUACCUGCCAUUCAACUUCUUCUUCAUUUCUAAUGUUCCUGCAGCUUUCUUUUUGUUAUUCUUGGAUAACAGGAUACAGCUCUGCCUCGUCUGGCAGGUGAA
Molecule: long non-coding RNA, 563 nt
Organism: Scomber scombrus (Atlantic mackerel)
Lineage: Eukaryota; Metazoa; Chordata; Actinopteri; Scombriformes; Scombridae
Exons: 3
Source: RefSeq, a predicted model, not a curated record